Molecule: ribosomal RNA, 175 nt
Filed under: Paenibacillus macquariensis
Lineage: Bacteria; Bacillati; Bacillota; Bacilli; Caryophanales; Paenibacillaceae
Description: 16S rRNA. Bacterial SSU
Rfam family: Bacterial small subunit ribosomal RNA
Source: RNAcentral
CCAAUUUGGAGAGUUUGAUCCUGGCUCAGGACGAACGCUGGCGGCAUGCCUAAUACAUGCAAGUCGAGCGGAGUCGUUUUGAAAGCUUGCUUUCAAAACGACUUAGCGGCGGACGGGUGAGUAACACGUAGGUAACCUGCCUGUAAGACUGGGAUAACUACCGGAAACGGUAGCU